UUGAGUACCGGAUUUUGGGUGGAUCUGAAAUUUCGCUGGAUAAUUUGGAGUUAAGCGAUUCGAGCGAGUCAGAGUGGGACAGUGAGUCAGUAAGGAGCAGUGACGAAGAUGAAGACGAACACUUUUAUGAGAGCGACGAAGAUGAUGCAGGAGACAUCGACGCCGAGUUAGGAAUGACCAAUUCGGGAGAACAAACUCAUUACCAGUCGCAGCUCCCUGAACACAUUAGUCGUGUAAAUGUUGACGAUUUCGUAGUUGACUUGAAUGAGGGUGAGACCCCGAAUUUUACUUGGCAGCCAGGAAUGGAGUUUCAAACGGGGAUGACCUUCAAAAGUCGCGAUGUUGUUGAGACCUGUGCAACCGCUUAUUCAAUCGCUAUGGGGAAGGAGCACCAGUUUCAUCGGACUACCCCCAAGACAAUCGUGUUUGUUUGCCGACACAACGAAAUCUGCGGAUGGUGGUUGCGAGCAACCAAACUACAGACAAAUCAUACAUGGACCCUGACAAAAUAUAUAGGGCCACACACGUGCGAUCAUUUUAUGACAGGUCGCGACCAUCGAAACUUUAAGUCUAGUCAAAUCGUAGAAUUUAUCAAGGACCUGGUGUUGGAACAACGCGACAUUCGCAUCAAGACGCUGAUGGCUGGUAUUUGGGAAAGAUUUUCUGUAAUGCCUACCUAUAAAAGAACUUGGUUAGCUAAGGAGAAGGCAAUAUGCAGCGCCUACGGAAACUGGAAGGACUCUUUCGCCGAAGUUUGUAGCUUCAUGGCCAAUGUGAAGGUCACAAAUCCCGGAUCAUUCUGGCAUGCAGAAGGCGAUCCAAUUUACACAAACCACUCGCAAAAUCCCCGAGUGAGAAUGUUUCGCAGAAUGUUUUGGACCUUCUACCCGAUGACAGCUGGAUUUGCUUUUUUGAAACCUGUGCUAUUCGUUGACGGGACUCAUUUGUAUGGAAAAUACACAAUGACCUUGUUGAUCGCAUCGGCGAUAGAUGGAAACAAUCACAUAAUGCCACUUGCCUUUGCACUUGUCGAAUCGGAGAGCGCAGCAAGCUAUGAAUAUUUUUUGAGUCAUCUCCGGGAGCAUGUUAUCAAGGAGAGAAAAGUGGCAAUUAUUUCGGAUCGCGCUGGUGGAAUAAUAGCUGUUUUGAAGCGCCCGGAGUGGGCGGGUGUUUCUCACAUGUUUUGCAUAAGGCAUUUAGCGAGUAAUUUCAAUACUCAUUUCAGAGAUAAGGAUUUGAAAAAACUGGCAGAAAAAGCAGGUCCCCCCGGCGCCGAUGCCGUAUAGUGACUCAUCUUUUAGACAUACGACAUUUGCCAACACUCGAGAUCCUUUUGCGCCAUCUGAUUCACAGGUUCGCCAGCCGCCGAUUCCGUCUUUCCAUUCAUAUCUGGGAGAGAUGGGAUAUACUCCACUAGGUACGCCGGCUCAGCCAGAGUCAGAU
RNA transcript from Mercurialis annua (annual mercury), 1443 nucleotides. RefSeq lists it as uncharacterized. Lineage: Eukaryota; Viridiplantae; Streptophyta; Magnoliopsida; Malpighiales; Euphorbiaceae. The record is from RefSeq and is a predicted model, not a curated record. The transcript has 4 exons.